RNAcentral lists this long non-coding RNA (1528 nucleotides) under Pogona vitticeps (central bearded dragon). RNAcentral describes it as "lncRNA (ENSPVIG00000017779.1)". The record is from RNAcentral. Lineage: Eukaryota; Metazoa; Chordata; Lepidosauria; Squamata; Agamidae.
AACAAGGAGGUGCGUGGGGGAGGAGGAGGAGGAGGAGGAGGAAGAGGGUCAACUCAGGGCUCUGCAUUUUGCUGCAAGGGGUCAGCUCCUGUCAGCAGACACAGAAAGGGAGCCAGCGUGCAAACUGAAUGCCUGUGAAAUUUGGGAUGCACAGGACAGACCCCUCAGGAGGAAGCCUGUGGCUCUCGCUUGAGUCAAUAGAAGUGCCAGCCUUGUACCUGCACCCAAAUGUGUGGAAGAAGGGCCCAGGCCAAUAUGUGGAAGGGCAGGCGGUGGUGGGCCGGGAGAGGAAAGGUCUUGUCCAUGUGCCAGAGACCAUGAGUUGCUGAGAGUGAUCAAGAACCAUCCUUUUUAUCUGCCUCUUUCCAGGGAAGGCCAUAGGUGAACAGAGUGAUGGAUGAAAAAGUGAAACCGGCAGGAACAUAAAGCAAUACUGCCUACUACGACUUACUACCAGAGCAUGGCAAUGAAAUCAGGAAGUGGGAGGGUCGGGAACUCACAGGAACAGCAGAGGAGCAGGAUCACGACAGCCUCGAUCUGCUGCUCGGAGAGGAGAUGGGGGCUGAUCUCUACAGACUCUGGCAAUGGAGCUACCAUGUUUUCAGCCAGGAAGUCAGAACACCAUGGACAGCUGCUGAUGGGAAAAGGGCUUCCAUAUGGAAUACACAUGGCAGGAGAAAGGAGACAAGGUGGAGUCAGCUGGCAAGGUAAGCCCUGCCCUGCCCGCCCUCAUGGUGCUGGUUUGGCCCAUGGGUGGCAGAACCAAGACGCUGUUGGGUGAAGUAUAACACAGCAGGAGAACAGAGCAGGCCAAGGGGUAAAGGGCCCCUUUUUCAGAUGCAAUCCUAACCGCACUUUUGCCCACUCGGGUGAAAGGCACUGGUUCUCACUUUGAAUUCUGGGGAUCAUUUGUCGUUUUGCAAAUGUGCAUCUCAAUUACUGCAAAGCGGUGUCCUCUUUUCAUUCUCCUUUUUAAGGGGAGCACAAGUGGCCAUCCUAGAAUGAUGGUUGGCUUCACAAGGUUGGUGUACCUGUACCGGCAGCGAGGGGGGGGGGAGAGGGAGGGCUUUUUCCCCCACUUCCCUUGGCAGAAUUAGCUCCAGCCCUGAGAGAUAGUUUGGGUUGUGGGGAAGGAACACUUGGGUGGAGGGUUGUGGGGCUUUCUCUUCUUUGCAAGGCAAAUAAGCCCCAGCCCCCUCCCAAUGAAGCUCUCCUGGGGCAAUUCAGAGAGUAUCAGAGCAACACAGACUGUGUUGCACUGCCCCCCCGCCCCCCUCCAGCCAGCUCUCUCUCUUUUUUGGCAGCGUUUGCCACAUCCAGUCUGUUUAGCAUCAGCUUAGCCCCAUCGCGGCAGGCUGGGACCUCCGCAUUCGAGGCUAUUUUUGCAUUCAGUUCAGUUUUUAUCAUUUUAAGGUUCACGCGUUUCUAAUUGUUAUGAAUACCAUGGUAAAAUUAAUAGUUCUAUGGUUGGUUUAUUACAUUUAGUAAAAUUAUGGGCAUGUAAUGUUUGCCAAGAAAAGACACUGCA